Molecule: unclassified non-coding RNA, 212 nt
Filed under: rhizosphere metagenome
Description: partial ribosomal RNA internal transcribed spacer region
Source: RNAcentral
GUAGGUGAACCUGCGGAAGGAUCAUUACCGAGUUCAUGCCCUUCGGGGUAGAUCUCCCACCCUUUGUAUACUAUACCUUUGUUGCUUUGGCGGGCCGCCUAGCUACUGGCUUCGGCUGGUUAGUGCCUACCAGAGAACCACAACUCUGUAAUAAAUGUCGUCUGAGUACUAUAAAAUAGUUAAAACUUUCAACAACGGAUCUCUUGGUUCUG